Acanthopagrus latus (yellowfin seabream) is the source of this 1402-nucleotide long non-coding RNA. RefSeq lists it as uncharacterized. The record is from RefSeq and is a predicted model, not a curated record. Lineage: Eukaryota; Metazoa; Chordata; Actinopteri; Spariformes; Sparidae. The transcript has 4 exons.
GGCCACGUUUGGGUAACCCAUCCCCAGGACUCCAUCGAACUUGGCGAAGAUGAAGGGCAUGGCAGACAGAGCGGUGGCCUCAGCAAACACCUGCACCACAGGAAUACCACCGACCUGCAGGGAAAACAGACUGAAGGUCAAAGAAACCCCCUGACGUUCCCAGCGGCAUACUGGAUGGAAAACCCGGUCCCGUUCUCGAUGUGGGUCCGGGAUUUGGAGGCAUCGUACCUGUUGUCCACCAGCAGCCCCAGUCCUGUCCAAGAUGAAAGUGGACAGCAGUCUUGACCUUCAUAAAUGAACGGCACAACACAGGAGGGCCGACAGUGAAAUGGUAUCAAUUUUUCGGAUUCCCUAUUUUUAGACAGCCUGCGCUCUGGAAGACAGCAGCACCACGGUAGCACUUUCCACCCUCAGCGUGAUAUCAGAGGAAAGUGUAAACUUGCCUUGUCCAUCAUACAAUUAGGCCUAACAGGUGUGUAUUGACAGAGCAUGUCGGUGGCAAUCUCACAGACAUCUGACUCCUGACCUACUUGGCUAAAUGAAUUACAGGUCUCUUUCCCAGACCCCCUAAAUGGACCCAUGCGUCAUUUCUGCCUGGCCUCCCACUUCUCCUCCACUGUUGGGAAAUAUAAAACCACCCCCUGGAAAAUGAUUUAUUUUAAGUUCAUAUGUUUUUUAGUAUCAGUCACAUCCCCUCAGAGGGCCUGCAUGACAGGUUGACAAGACGGCAAAGAAGUUUCUAGCAAGGGAAUUGACUUUCAGAUCAUCAAAGCAAAGCAUGUGUGUUUUAUAAAAUGAGGAGGCUGUUGGGGAAAAAAAGGUGCGGCAGGUUAAACCUCAACGGAGUUUCUGCCGACAGACGCAGAUCGGAGGCACAGUUUGCGAAAGAGGAUCUUGUAGGGUAGUGAGCUAUCUAUCAUGAUAAGAAAGCAACACGUUGAGAGACAUCUGAAGCAGAGCAGUGUUUGUUUGCAGGACAUGGGACUUGAGGGAAGUAAUCACUCACAAUAGUGACUGCCAAAGCCUCAAAAGCUCGACCUAAAAUCCUGACCAGCUGCUAUGAGCCACAAAACGCCCCAUGUUACAUGUUUUUGGCUGAACUGUGAGAGGUUGCUUCAUACACAAUGAAUGGAGAGCGACAAUGGGGUCUGAUGCAUUUUAUGCUAAGUUAUGUUUUUGAAUUUAAAGCCAAUGAACUCCAAAUUAGAGAUGAUGAGGCUGCGAUUCCAUCUGGAGACAAUAUGUAGGAAAAUAUGUGGGACUGUCCUCACAACAGGAGGUGGAAAAUGUAGAAAUGAGGACCAAAAGAUGCAGUCAAAACAUAUUUUAUGUGCAUACUAUCGUAGCCCUCCCAAGAGCAUGAUUUUUUAUAUUUUUGUGUUUGCCAGCUUAUUAUAAUAAA